RNAcentral lists this ribosomal RNA (296 nucleotides) under Loganius gracilens. RNAcentral's name for it is "partial 28S ribosomal RNA". The record is from RNAcentral. Lineage: Eukaryota; Metazoa; Arthropoda; Insecta; Coleoptera; Curculionidae.
CGUUUAGGGGUAAACCUGAGAAACCCGAAAGGUCGAAGGAAGAAAUUCAGUUGUUGCGCUCGGAGUUGAACGCGUGCACUUUUCUUCUGGUAGGACGUCGCGAUCCGUUGGGUGUCGGUCUAGCCCGUUUGUCGAUCGGACCCCGGCUGACUCGCUCGACGGUAGGGCCGCUCAGCGUUCGGCUCGCAGCAAGCGCGUCAGAUGUCGGUCGGACCUAGUGCCGACCCUGACCUCUGAUGACUGUUGGCUGUCGAACAGACCCUAUCUGCGACGCUAUAGCUUUGGGUACUUUCAGG